UCCUCCCCCGCCUGCAGCCGGCGGCGCCCCACGGGCCACCCCCGCGUCCGCAACUGCGGACUUCGUGACCCAUCCCCGGGCCUGUCCGCUUCGGAGCAGUCCGGGACUGCGCAGCUGCGCCCCGCUUGCCGACAUGGGGAAGUCUUUUUCUCAUUUGCCUUUGCAUUCAAAUAAAGAGGAUGGUUACGAUGGAGUCACAUCAACUGAAAAUAUGAGGAAUGGAUUGGUUAAUAGUGAAGUCCAUAAUGAAGAUACAAGAAAUGGAGAUGUCUCUCAGUUUCCGUAUGUGGAAUUCACAGGAAGAGAUAGUGUCACUUGUCCCACUUGUCAGGGAACAGGAAGAAUUCCUAGGGGACAAGAAAACCAACUCGUGGCAUUGAUUCCCUAUAGUGAUCAGAGAUUAAGGCCAAGAAGAACAAAGCUGUAUGUGAUGGCAUCUGUGUUUGUCUGUCUGCUCCUUUCCGGAUUAGCUGUGUUUUUCCUUUUUCCUCACUCUAUCGACGUGAAGUACGUUGGAGUAAAGUCAGCAUAUGUUAGCUAUGACGUUCAAAAGCGUACAAUAUAUUUAAAUAUCACAAACACACUGAAUAUAACGAACAAUAACUAUUAUUCUGUUGAAGUUGAAAACAUCACUGCACAAGUUCAGUUUUCAAAAACAGUUAUCGGAAAGGCACGCUUAAACAACAUAACCAAUAUUGGUCCACUUGAUAUGAAACAAAUUGAUUACACAGUACCUACUAUUAUAGCAGAAGAAAUGAGUUAUAUGUUUGAUUUCUGUACACUGAUAUCCAUCAAAGUGCAUAACAUAGUACUCAUGAUGCAAGUUACUGUGACAACAACAUACUUCGGGCACUCUGAGCAGAUAUCCCAGGAGAGGUACCAGUAUGUAGAUUGUGGAAGGAACACAACUUACCAGUUGGGCCAGUCUGAGUAUCUGAAUGUUCUUCAGCCACAACAGUAAAAGCUGAAGGAGAUACAGCUGGAAAAGAAGAAAUGCCUAUUGAUAUUUUUAAAACUUUCAAAGAUAAGAUCAAAGGGAAGCUUCUGGCAGAUGAAAGCGGACUCUCAAAUUUCAAGGCGGGUUUCACCUGGGAAUUCACGGAAAGGAACGGCCUUUCCAUGAGAAUGAGAACCAUUGUAGGCCAGCAACUUCCAGAUGACUAGGAGCAAAAAUUGGUCAACUUUGAAGGGUUCCGGAAGUCAGAUGAUGAUGGUGAUGAUAAUAAACUAAAAUGGCUUAGUUUAAGAUGAAAACAUUUUCUGCUGGUGACUUUUAUUGAUUUCAAAGACAUGAUUAUCAAAAAUUAUGUUUCAACUUAAGAUUUAUGAAAACAGUAAAAUGUAGACAACAUUUUUUUGUAGUUUUAGGGCUAAGAUCAUUUCUUAGUAAUUUCCAGCUCUACGUGCAUUCGUACUCUUUGGUUUCAACAUGGCGUCGUAUUUCCAUCACAAGUCUGUUCAGUUCACCAUUGGUUGCACUUGAUUAAGGAAAAUACCUACCUUAAAUGAAGUUUCCAUGGGAUCAGUUUUAUCCUGGCAAUAUUAAGUCCAUUGGAUAGAAAAAUUGAAGUCAGCAGCAUGUAAAAAAAUAUGAGUGUAGCACGCUUGUGAAAGUAACGCGUAGGGGAAGCUGCAUGGUUUGCCGAAAACAUACAUGUGUGUUACUUGCAUAAAAAUACGAUAAUUAUUUAGAGUUAAUGAAGCCCUGCCUUCUGCCUUUAAGCACACUCAGGUCUCCCCUUAGCUUUCAUGAUCAUUUUCUCCAAAUUUUCCUGAGUGAGCAUUUUAAUGUAUGAAAUGUGCUAGGUAACUUCUUUCCCUUACUCAGUAUUCCUUUCAUUCGUUGCUGUCUCAUCCAGUCUUAUUUAAACCAAUAUCACCACUUUAAAUUCAUUAUGGAUUUUCUAGUCAAACCCAAUCUUUAUUUUCAUUUUUUUCUUACGUUUUGCUGAUUACUACUGUGUGUGUGUACGUGAAACCAUACACUUUUCUAAUGUAUUGAUUCUACUUGUAUUUUUAAAAUCAUUCUCAUUUCAAUUUUCUCUCAUUACCUAUCUUUAUUAAUGAGCAUGAUCUAGGUUCCUUUUUGUCUGCCCUUUCUCCUCCUGUGACUUCAACAGUCACCUAUAUCUAGAUUAGGGCUUCCAAACCUGUUUCUGGAUACCUGACUAGUCACCUAUCUAGUUUCACAUUUAGCUAGUGACGUAGAAAUACAGUAUUUUGAUAACUUUCUAUAUGUAAAAUCAAAAAAGUUAAACUUUAUUAUAUCCUAUUAAAAACCCAUUUAUUAUACCUAGUUUCAUUGUACAGUUUAAGUCAGAAAACACUAGAAUUUAAAAGGAAGAAAGAAAACAAUGGUAGGGGAAAAAAAUGCUGCGCUAUUCUUAGGGGUUAAGUAACUAUCUGGAUAAGCUGAAACAAAACAGACUGUAAAAUAACACUACAGAAACACAUCCAGGUAUGAGAGCAUUAUAGCUGUAAAAAAUCUGGGAAGAGUGAAUGAGAUUAACUUCCCUUAGGUCAGUGUCCAGUUCCUGUUUUUAAAUGGUAAUUGGAUAAGUAUUGAAACAUUUUUUAAAUACAUUUAUAAUGGUGUUUUCAGAACUUAUCCAGAAGACAUGGUAAAAGAUGUUACAAAUCUAUUUCUAAUACUUGCAGUAAUAACUUUCUCUUGCAUUACACCUUAAUAGACUGUUCUUUCUAGCCAAAUCCAAUAUUACAGCAAACUCUGCUGAUACUACCUUCUGUAUAUAGAACUUCGCCAUUUUCUGAGCUCUUCCACAUACUUUCUUACACAAUUCCUCACAGGCCUAUGAGUCAGACAAAGGAGGGCGAAAGGGUCCUCAUCUUUCAGAAGAAGAAGGACGUGGAGAAGUUAAAGGACCUCUUGCGGGUCAUAGAGUUAGUAAACAGUGUAAUUGGGGUUGGAUCUAGUUUUUCUGUCUCCCACAUCUGUGGUCUGUCAUUUAAAGUAUCCAUUGGACAGCCCUACCUGCCUCAGGUUAGUAUGAUUAAAAAUUAGAGAAAAAGGUCACGGAAUUAAUAGUCAACAAUCAAAGUAGUACUGAUGGACUAAGAUUUAUAUAGUUCUAAACUGGUAUUUGAAAUUUGUCAAGUGGGGCAUAAACACUUAUAAAAUACAUUGGAGCAUAAUGUAUAGCUUAAUUUUUCUGUUAAAAUUUACUAUUCCUUGAUUACAGAAUAACACAACUGAUACAUUGUCAGAGAAAUUCAUAAAUAAUAGAGGCUGAUAUAUUUGAGUUUUGAAAAUAAGAGCACAAUGAAAAUAUUAGAUAACCAGAUAAAUUGUUUAAAAUUGCUAAAUGACCAUCUUUAUUCUAGUACAUCACAUUUAAACGACUAAUUUGUGUGCAGUUUUUCUAGGCCUUUUUUGUUUAGGCCAAUGAGAUGAUUAUUUUCUAUAAAAAUUUAUAAGAAUAUAUGACUCACUUCAGAUCUUCUGAAUUAUAGCUUGAAAAUAGCACAGUAAGUGCUAAAAUACAUAUGAAGUGACUGCCAAAACAGAAUAAAAGUAACUUAUUAGGAGACUUGAAACUUUAGCCUUAAUGAGUCACUCGUGGUACUUAACCUCGGCUUUAUUGCAAUAUAAAUUGUACAGUGUCAUUGGAUGACAUCCCCCCAGUUCUUCCAACCCCAUUUCUUGUUUGUUUUGUUACAGUUCUUAGAUACUUGUUUCUGAUACUUUAGUAAUAACUUUCUCUUACAUUACACCUUAAUAGACUUCUUUCUAACUGUGCUGAUAUUACCUUAUGUAUAUAGAUACACUUGGCCAUUUUCUGAGCUCUUUCACAUAUUUUCUUAAUUCCCAUAGGCCUAUGAGUCAGACCAAGGAAGGAGAUAGGGUCCUCAUCUUUCAGAAGAGGAAGGAAGGACAUGGAGUUUCUUAUAUAAUGAUUAUAUCUUGUUUAGGAAAAUAGUUUCAGUUGAGUACCCCCAAAGUAAGUUACUGCUCAGGAUAGCUAGUAUUUAUUGGAUACUUGCUGUUUGUCAGAUACUGCACAUCUUUUAUAUAUUAUUAUUCCUCAAAACAGUUCUCUAAAGUAGUUACUAUUACUCUCCCCCAUCUUACACCUAAGAGAAAUGAUUUUUAGAGACGUUAAUACGCGUAUGCUAGAAAAUGACAGAUUUGGAAUUGAAGCCAGUUCUGUUUUGACUCAAGCAUUAUUGCUAUUACUAUUUAACCUGUUUUCUUGCUAGCCUUUAAAAAUAUUCUAUUUGAAAAAAAUAUAUUUGUUGCUGCACUUACACGUAAGAUUAUUAGGAUAUUUUAUUAUUUUGUAUAUCUGGUAUAGUGAAAAUAUUUACCGUUGGCUUAAAAGAUACUCAUGCAUAUCUAUUGGACAAUAAUUUUUUUUCUUUUUAAAAAUUGUAAAAUUUUAAACAUAUCAUUCUUCUUUGAUAAGCAGUAUGACUUGAAUUUCAAGCUACUAUUUUUUUUUUUUAAGGGUGUAAGAAAAAGGUUAGUUACCAUAAUGUCACCAGGUAAUGGUUUUUAGCUUACACAUCUGGAGGCAGCAACUACUUGACUCAAACACACCUAAGAGUGAAUUUUUAUUUCUCUUUUUUGUAAAAUCAGAUUUUAAAUGAGAUGUUUAUCUUAAACUAUUUUAUUUUAAGGAAAAAAUAUUACAUGUUUGAGAGGGUGGGGUAAAACAAUUUAAGCUUUAUUUUAAAAAUGUGGUUUUUACUUUUACGUUAAAGUAAAAUAACAUAGUUUUACAAAAAUAAUAGUUGCCUUCUACAUUUGUUUGCAAACUGCACCGUCCCCGUGAGGCGUUUUCACGUUACAACAACAUGAAAAAAAAAAAAUUGGUGUAGCAGCCCUUAUGAAAAUACCUUGUGGAAGGAGGGAAUGGUGGGCAAACAAACUAGAAAGCAUGCAUUAUUCGCAUAAAAAUACGGCAUAUGUGCUUGGAUCAAAACCUUCUAUAUCCCAGAUCUACUUACUUCAAAGUAAAUACUUGUCAACUAAAAUUCCUGAUUAGGAAGAAGAAUUGUGUGUUUUUAUACAUAGUCAGAAUGUAAAUUUCAGAGUAGAUUUUUGAAAUUAUCUUUAAUUUGGAUAAAAGCAAGUAAUACAUUUGUAGUUAUUAUGGAGAUAAAAAUGAUAACUUCCACUUCUUAAAUGACAGAUGUGAUUAUGUAUGUAGUUCUUCAUAUGUGGCUUUAAAUUAAAGAAUAUAGUACGGUCUGUGUUUGACCCGGAAACCCUGGUGGCAUAGUGAUUAAGUGCUAUAGUUGCUAACCAAGAGGUCGGCAGUUCAAAUCCACCAGGCACUCCUUGGAAACUCUAUGGGGCAGUUCUACUCUGUCACACAGGGUCGCUGUGAGUUGGAAUCGACUCGAUGGCAGUGGGUUUGGUUUUGGUUUGCUGUUGGACCCUAAAAAUCUCCCAUAAUAAAAAUAUGUGGCAAAUUUUUCAUAGCUAAAUCUAACUUUUCUAGAAGGAACUCAUUGCCUUCUGUUUAAUUACAUUAAUUGAAAUGUGUUUAAGAGAAGUGUUUCCAGCAUAUUUUGUAUACCAAAAAAAAAGAAGGAUUAGUGUUGGGCCAAUGGCCAAGAGGUAAUAUUACUACCCAUGGUAGACUGUUACAGUUCAAAUUAUCCCACGUCCCCCAGAGUUUUAGAAACUAGAAGUGUGGGAGGCACUGUAUCAGCUAUAAUUGCAUGAUUCUAAGUGCUGUACGUGCUGUUCAUCCUUGCAUUAUUUUGUAAAUGGAACAGUGCCAAGCUGCAAAAGAUGUUAUUUUUUUUUUCUAGAUGCAGAAUUUCAAUUUCAUUGUAUGAUAGCUUGUUUUGAGCAUAAAAUGUCAGCAAGUCAUGCCUUGUGUGCUUUGUCUUGUAUUUCCUUUUACAACUAAAGAUUUUAGAAAAUUAUUUGGCAUGCUUGCUGACUGACCUGCUUGGUCAGAUACUUGAAUUACUAGUUACAUUUGUAUUACUAGUUAGAUUCUAGCCCUUGAUUUUAACUGUGGGAUGACGAAUAAUAAUAGAGAAUGUGAGAAUAUGUUUGGGUGCUGUCUUAGUUAUCCCGUACUGCUGAAAGACAAAUACCACAAGUAGAUGGUUUUAACAAACAAAUUCAUUUUCUCAGAGUUUAUGAGGCUAGAAGUCCAAAUUCAGGGCAGCAACUCUAGGGGAGGGCCUUCUCUCUCUGUCAGCUCUAGAAGAAGGUCCUCGUCUCUUUGUAGCUUCUGGUCCUGGAAGAUGUUCCUGUGGCUUGGCGCACCUCUCAUCCAUCUCACCUCUGCUGGCUUGUUUAAUCUCUUUUCUGUCUCAAAAGAGAUUGACCCAAGACAAACCCUGCACUAAUGCCGCCUCAUUCAUAUAACAGGCAACCUAUUCCCAAAGGGGAUUAUAACCACAGGCAUAGAAGUUAAGAUUUACAGCACCUAUUUUUGGGGGGGGUGGGGGGGGACGUAAUUCCAUCCAUAGCAAGUACUUUUGUUUAUAUUAUGUAGUGGUGUCCAUCAUAAAGCACUUACUAAAUUUCCAAGUUUAGGUGUUCUGUAAUUAUAACUUGUUGCUGUUCAUGUAACAAAACGUGCUUAUGAUAGUAAAUGAAUAGAAAUGCUGUUUUUUUAAAUUCAGCUCUGUUCUUGUGUAUGACAAAACUGUAAAAAUUUUAGCAUGAAAAAUAAAAUUCAUUUCAGUCAAA
Loxodonta africana (African savanna elephant) is the source of this 6679-nucleotide RNA transcript. It is a transcript of the gene named transmembrane protein 106B, with no coding region annotated. NCBI's taxonomy places the organism in Eukaryota, Metazoa, Chordata, Mammalia, Proboscidea, Elephantidae. The transcript has 9 exons. The record is from RefSeq and is a predicted model, not a curated record.